AAGUCGAGCGGGGAAAGGUAGCUUGCUACUGGACCUAGCGGCGGACGGGUGAGUAAUGCUUAGGAAUCUGCCUAUUAGUGGGGGACAACAUUCCGAAAGGAAUGCUAAUACCGCAUACGUCCUACGGGAGAAAGCAGGGGACCUUCGGGCCUUGCGCUAAUAGAUGAGCCUAAGUCGGAUUAGCUAGUUGGUGGGGUAAAGGCCUACCAAGGCGACGAUCUGUAGCUGGUCUGAGAGGAUGAUCCGCCACACUGGGACUGAGACACGGCCCAGACUCCUACGGGAGGCAGCAGUGGGGAAUAUUGGACAAUGGGGGGAACCCUGAUCCAGCCAUGCCGCGUGUGUGAAGAAGGCCUUAUGGUUGUAAAGCACUUUAAGCGAGGAGGAGGCUACUAGUAUUAAUACUACUGGAUAGUGGACGUUACUCGCAGAAUAAGCACCGGCUAACUCUGUGCCAGCAGCCGCGGUAA
Molecule: ribosomal RNA, 470 nt
Filed under: uncultured Acinetobacter sp.
Lineage: Bacteria; Pseudomonadati; Pseudomonadota; Gammaproteobacteria; Moraxellales; Moraxellaceae
Description: bacterial SSU rRNA
Rfam family: Bacterial small subunit ribosomal RNA
Source: RNAcentral